Molecule: ribosomal RNA, 465 nt
Filed under: Vreelandella stevensii
Lineage: Bacteria; Pseudomonadati; Pseudomonadota; Gammaproteobacteria; Oceanospirillales; Halomonadaceae
Description: partial 16S ribosomal RNA
Rfam family: Bacterial small subunit ribosomal RNA
Source: RNAcentral
CCUACGGGGGGCUGCAGUGGGGAAUAUUGGACAAUGGGCGAAAGCCUGAUCCAGCCAUGCCGCGUGUGUGAAGAAGGCCUUCGGGUUGUAAAGCACUUUCAGUGGGGAAGAAAGCCUUGGGGCUAAUACCCUCGAGGAAGGACAUCACCCACAGAAGAAGCACCGGCUAACUCCGUGCCAGCAGCCGCGGUAAUACGGAGGGGGCGAGCGUUAAUCGGAAUUACUGGGCGUAAAGCGCGCGUAGGCGGUCUGAUAAGCCGGUUGUGAAAGCCCCGGGCUCAACCUGGGAACGGCAUCCGGAACUGUCAGGCUAGAGUGCAGGAGAGGAAGGUAGAAUUCCCGGUGUAGCGGUGAAAUGCGUAGAGAUCGGGAGGAAUACCAGUGGCGAAGGCGGCCUUCUGGACUGACACUGACGCUGAGGUGCGAAAGCGUGGGUAGCAAACAGGAUUAGAUACCCCGGUAGUC